Molecule: non-coding RNA, 25 nt
Filed under: Cricetulus griseus (Chinese hamster)
Lineage: Eukaryota; Metazoa; Chordata; Mammalia; Rodentia; Cricetidae
Source: RNAcentral
AAAUCAAACGUUAGUCGUUACGCAG